Non-coding RNA from Neurospora crassa OR74A, 1115 nucleotides. NCBI's taxonomy places the organism in Eukaryota, Fungi, Ascomycota, Sordariomycetes, Sordariales, Sordariaceae. The record is from RefSeq and is a predicted model, not a curated record.
ACGGUCAGAUCGAUGCGAUACUGCAAUACAAUACCGCCAUUGUGUUACCUUGACUGGCAUCAGACCUAGCAGAGCGUGCGAUGUCCGUGGUAUGAUGAGGUCCAGAUGCUCACUCCAACCCCCACACCCUGAUAUUGUCCUCGCCUCAGACAAGUGCUCAACUUGGAAAAGUCGGAAAGGUGUCAGCCUCGGUGUCAAGGAUCGCUGUUCUCUACGAGCUUCUAUGCAUCGGUGGAGGGUGGGGAUGGUUUGUUGCAGUGUGGAGGUGAUUGUUUCUGUCCGGUCGAUGAUUGCAGAAGCGGCAUAACCAGGGGUACCCAAGUACCUGAACCUAGUCCAUGAAUGCACAUCUCCUCGGUGCAAGAUAAGGUUGUCAAUCUGUCAUCACAGCCAAACGACAGAUGACUACCGUACCCGUGCCUUGCCAUCUCCCCAUCCAAGAUCCGGGACUGUGGGAGAGAGAUAUCGAGUCGAGUUACCUGGCAGCCAGUGGGUGGGCUGUUGAAGAAAGGGUGUGAUACACAAUGUGGUGGGAUGCCAUGCACGUCUCGGAGUGGGUUGAACUAGGUAGGGACGGAGGCUGAUCAAUGUCUCGAUCCCAUGUGGAUUUUUAUGGGUCCUGUGUCCCGUUGGAGAAAUCCAACAAUCCAACAACAAGAACCAGAGCGAGUUUGUUGUACCAUCAAUUGGGCCUCGACGUUACUGUAAUAUUGGACGAGGCUGAGCAGCUCGGUGCAAGGCGCACGAUGUGGCUUCUGUAGAAGGACGAGAGGGAAGUGAGCCUUAUUCCGGGGUAGGGCGUAAUUGUUGCCUCGUUUGCUGGGCAUGCAUCAAUAUGCAUCGACAGAGAAAAGACCGCAGAUUCGAGAGGCCAUCACAUCAACAAGACUGGGGGAGCAAGGUCGCCACCUUCUGCCCAUAUGUUCGGGCUUUAUGCAAGGUAUUAAGUAGCGAUGCAUCAUGCAAGGCGGCAAGGCUGUUUGAUAUUUGCAAGUUAAAGAACAAACAAAACCUUUGAAGCGCGGAUGAUCCUGAGCAUGGAAAAUGCCAAACAGGAAAAAUUGGACGUAUAGACUUAGGUUCGCACUGAAUAUGGCCGAAGCAGUUCCACAUCG